This 305-nucleotide ribosomal RNA is filed under the name uncultured bacterium. RNAcentral's name for it is "bacterial SSU rRNA". It matches the Rfam family "Bacterial small subunit ribosomal RNA", at positions 333 to 636 of the family's 1533-position model. The record is from RNAcentral.
UACCGCCUACGGGACGCAGCAGUGAGGAAUAUUGGUCAAUGGGCGCGAGCCUGAACCAGCCAAGUCGCGUGAGGGAAGACGGUCCUAUGGAUUGUAAACCUCUUUUGUCGGGGAGCAAAAGACGCCACGCGUGGCGUUCCGAGAGUACCCGAAGAAAAGGCAUCGGCUAACUCCGUGCCAGCAGCCGCGAUAAUACGGAGGAUGCGAGCGUUAUCCGGAUUUAUUGGGUUUAAAGGGUGCGCAGGCGGAAGAUCAAGUCAGCGGUAAAAUUGAGAGGCUCAACCUCUUCGAGCCGUUGAAACUGG